UUUCCUGUGUCUCUGGUGGUCUGCCUAAACCUACAAAUAUAACCUUCUUAUCUAUAAACAUGAAGAAUAUCCUACAGUGGAACCCACCACAGGGCCUACAAGGAGUGGAAGUUACUUAUUCUGUGCAGUAUUUCAUUUUCCUUCUCAGCAGAUAUGGGCAAAAGAAAUGGCUGAAUAAAUCCGAAUGCAGAAAUAUCAGUAGGACCUACUGUGAUCUCUCUGCUGAAACUUCUGACUACGAACGUCAAUAUUAUGCCAAAGCUAAGGCCAUCUGGGGAACGAAUUGUUCUAAAUGGGCAGAAACUGGACGAUUCUAUCCUCUUUUAGAAACACAAAUUGGCCCACCAGAGGUUGCUUUGACUACUGAUGAGAAAUCCAUAUCUAUUGUUCUGACGGCUCCAAAGAAGUGGAAGAAAAACCCAGAAGAAAGCUCUAUUUCCCUGGAACAAAUAUACUCUAAUCUGAAGUAUAAUGUGUCCAUACAUAAUACUAAAUCAAACAGAACGUGGUCCCAGUGUGUGACAAACCGAACGCUGGUAUUCAGCUGGCUGGAGCCGGACACUCUGUACUGCGUCCUCGUGGAGUCCUUCAUCCCAGGCCCUCCUCGCCUUGUUCAGCCGUCUGAGAAGCAGUGUGUCAGUACUUUGAAAGAUCAAACAUCAACACUGAAGGUUAAAAUCAUCUUCUGCUAUGUUCUGCCCAUAUCUGUUACUGUGUUUAUUUUUUCUGUGAUGUGCUACUCCAUGUACAGAUAUACCUACGUCGGCAAAGAGAAACACCCAGCAAAUCUGAUUUUGAUUUAUGGAAAUGAAUUUGACAAAAGAGUCUUUGUACCUGCUGAAAAAGUUGUGAUUAACUUUAUCACUCUCAAUAUUUUGGAGGAUUCUAAAACUUCUCAUAAGGAUAUAAGUGUAAUGGAAAAAAGCAAUGAUGCCUCAGACCUGAAUGAGCCCAGCAAGGACCAGGAGCCCCAUCAGGAGGAAGUGGAGGUGAAACACCUGGGAUAUGCUUCACAUGUGGUGGACAUUGUGUAUGACCCUGAGAAAAGCACCCAAGGGACUUCCUUAAGCCAGCAAGAGCCACCCAGCAGGACAAUGCCCACAGAUAAAACAGUCAUCGAAUAUGAAUGUGAUGUAAGAACUAGCGACAUUUCUGUGGGGCCUGGAGACCAGGAGUUCAAUUUGCAGGAGGAAGUGUCCCUACAAGGAAAGUUAUCUGAGCAACAGGCAACUUUAGCAGACUUGGGUCCACAAACACUACCAUAUUCAUAUACCCCUCAGCUCAGAGACUUGGACCACCUGCCGCAGGGGCAUGUGGACACAGAGGAGGGGCCAGAGGCAGAACCAUCAACCACACUGGUCGAUUGGGACCCUCGGACUGGCAGGCUGUGUAUACCUUCAUUAUCCAGCUUUGAACAUGACUCAGAGAGAUGUAAGCAUCCUGAGUCUGAGGGACUCGAGGACGAGGGCCUCUUAUCUAGACUCUACCAGGAUCGGGCUCCAGACAAGACACUGGAGGAACAUGAAGCCUAUCUCAUGCAGUUUAUGGAGGAAUGGGGAUUAUAUGUACAAAUGGAAGACUAACACUCAAACGUCCCUUUGCCAGACCUCUACUGUUACAAAACACUGCUUGUUUCAUUCCGCCUCCUGUGGGUGCUGGGUUGUGCGUGUGGGUCUCCCGCACUGACGGUGGGCGCCCAGAGUGCAGUGGCUGACCCUCUUUGUACCCAGUAAGUAUUCAAAAAUGUUGGCCAACUUGGAUGCAGAACUUAUUCAGUAAUAAUUUGCUGACAAAGUUUUACCAGCUGAGCUCCAGCAGUUCCUGGCCAAAGAUUUAAGAUUUGUGUCAGUGCCCCAGAGAUAGGCUCCACGACCAGAUCAGCAGACAGGCACCCACCAUGGAUCCUAGCAUCGUCUUCAAACGCGGACCCUCCUCUCUCCAGAGCUAUGGCUACUGCUGCCACUAUUGCUGCUUCUGCUGCUGCUGUCGCCAUCAUCACCACCAUCCGGACCCAGGUCCCAGCCUUGGCGUGUGCAGCCAAGCUAACUGCUUAGCACGAACAUUGGCCACUGCUCACAGUGCCACAGGACUAAGCCAGCGUGCAUGAGGGCGUGUGUGUGUGCGUGUGUGCUGUGUGCUGUCACUUCACGUAUCUCCUCUUUGCACAGGCUUGUUCCAUUAUCUAUUCAGACUUAACUUACAAAACACAGCCUCCUCAUUGGCCAGUUCUGGCACCAUCCCUCAGGAAUCCAAGCUGUGCUUGUGUCUUGUCCUUGGAUGCCCAUAAGAUGGCCCACUGUAUUUUUGCAAAAAAUCCCCUAUUGGAUGCCCAGUCAUUGUCCUUUCUCUCUUCUUUACUAAAAGAAAAGUUAGUCUUUUCAGGGGAGCCAUAUGCCACUUCCCAGAAUUCCUUACAUCUAAAGGAAUGCACACAUGAGGCUGGAGGUAGAAGAGCCGUCUUGCAAGCAUGAAGCAAAAAGCAAGAAGGUUGAGCUGGAACACUGUUCACUGAUACCAUCAGGAAGCAGCUACACCAAUCCCAGACUGCCAACUUCUGAACUUCUUAUUUUAUUAGAAACAUAAAUUCUUUUGGUUGGGUGCUGAAUCCAGUUUUUAUUAUAUGCAGCCAGAUGAAAUCUUAACUGAGAUACCCCUUUGCUUACGUUACCUUGGGUGGGUUUUUGUUUCUUGCAACUUGCUGUUUUUGCACCAUCCAUACCCUAUGGAUCCUUUUCCUGCACAAGGACCUUCCCUCAAGGUGGUUUCACUCCUACCAACCAGUACCUGCAGCUCUUUGUUAGAGGACUACUCUCAGGCUGCCCAGCCUGUUGGUCUUAAGAGCUGUAACUACCCGGGAAUUUACAUCCCCUGGGAGCUAUUUGUAACCCUUGCCUUACUCUGGAUGGUUUUACUUACUGCAGGAUUGAGUAAGAGUUAUGCCCUGUGAGAUAUUGAUCUGACACUCUUGCACAAUCCCACUCCCCUACCAGUUUCUCCUAGGGACAUUUCCUAAUAAACUACUUUCCCAUGAAUCCUUAUCUCAGGGUCCACUUAUGGGAAACUCAACCUAAGAUGCAAUCCAAAGACCCCUGAAUAGAAUACGUAUUCCCAAGUGCUAUGGACUGAAUGUUUGUGUCCUCUCAAAACUCUUUUGUCGAAACACUUUGUCCCCAAUUUGAUGGUAUUUGGUGGUGGUAAAUAGGAAAUUAGGCCUUAAGGGUGGAGUCCCCAUGAUUAUAAGUGCCCUUAUAAAAAGAGGAAGAGACAUGAGAUCUCUCUCCCUCUUUUUUUUUGUGCACAUGCCAAGGAAAGGCCAUGUGAGGACAUAACCACAUGGACUCUCACUAAGAGCAUCCUGGCACCCUGACCUUGGACUUCUAGCCUCCAGAAACAUGAGAAAUAAACAUUUAUUGUUUAAGUCA
This is an RNA transcript of Lagenorhynchus albirostris (white-beaked dolphin), 3422 nucleotides long. It is a transcript of the gene named interleukin 20 receptor subunit alpha, with no coding region annotated. Lineage: Eukaryota; Metazoa; Chordata; Mammalia; Artiodactyla; Delphinidae. The transcript is spliced from 9 exons. The record is from RefSeq and is a predicted model, not a curated record.